UCACAUAACAACCACAUCCCUCCUCUAAAGAAGCCCCUGGGAACACAGCUCAUCACCAUGGACUGGACCUGGAGGCUCCUCUUUGUGGUGGCAGCAGCUACAGGUGCCCAGUCCCAGGUCCAGCUGGUGCAGUCCGGGGCUGAGGUGAAGAAGCCUGGGGCCUCAGUGAAGCUCUCCUGCAAGGCUUCUGGAUUCACCUUCGGCAGCUAUGCUAUCAGCUGGGUGCGACAGGCCCCUGGACAAGGGCUUGAGUGGAUGGGAGAGAUCAUCCCUGCAUUUGGCAUAGCAGACUACGCACAGAAGUUCCAGGGCAGAGUCACAAUUACCGCCGACACGUCCACUAACACAGCCUACAUGGAGCUGAGCAGCCUGAGAUCUGAGGACACGGCCGUGUAUUACUGUGCCCAUUCCCAGGUCCAGCUGGUGCAGUCAGGGGCUGAGGUGGAGAAGCCUGGGGCCUCAAUGAAGGUCUCCUGUAAGGCUUCCGGAUACACCUUCACCAACUACUUUAUGCAGUGGGUGCGACAGGCCCCUGGACAAGAACUUGAGUGA
Molecule: non-coding RNA, 552 nt
Organism: Mandrillus leucophaeus (drill)
Lineage: Eukaryota; Metazoa; Chordata; Mammalia; Primates; Cercopithecidae
Source: the annotation of a RefSeq genome assembly